RNAcentral lists this ribosomal RNA (1338 nucleotides) under uncultured bacterium. Its description in RNAcentral is "bacterial SSU rRNA". It matches the Rfam family "Bacterial small subunit ribosomal RNA", at positions 29 to 1391 of the family's 1533-position model. The record is from RNAcentral.
ACGAACGCUGGCGGCGUGCUUAACACAUGCAAGUCGCACGGGGCCGGGGGCAACUCCGGUUCAGUGGCGGACGGGUGCGUAACACGUGAGGAACAUGCCCAUCGGCGGGGGAUAGCCGGCCCAACGGCCGGGUAAUACCGCGUACGCUCUUCGGGGCUCCUGCCCUGGAGAGGAAAGCAGCAAUGCACCGAUGGAGUGCCUCGCGGCCUAUCAGCUAGUUGGUGGGGUAACGGCUCACCAAGGCGACGACGGGUAGCUGGUCUGAGAGGACGAUCAGCCACACGGGGACUGAGACACGGCCCCGACUCCUACGGGAGGCAGCAGCAAGGAAUUUUCCACAAUGGGCGCAAGCCUGAUGGAGCAACGCCGCGUGCGGGAUGACGCCCUUCGGGGUGUAAACCGCUUUUCGAGGGGACGAAGGCAAUGACGGUACCCUCGGAAGAAGGAUCGGCUAACUACGUGCCAGCAGCCGCGGUAAGACGUAGGAUCCGAGCGUUGUCCGGAGUUACUGGGCGUAAAGCGCGCGCAGGCGGACACGCGCAUCGGCGGUGAAAGCCCCCCGCUCAACGGGGGAGGGUCCGUCGAGAUGGUGUGUCUGGAGGCAGGGAGAGGCCAGUGGAAUUCCCGGGUGUAGUGGUGAAAUGCGUAGAGAUCCGGAGGAACACCCAGUGGCGAAGGCGGCUGGCUGGACCUGACCUGACGCUGAGGCGCGAAGGCGUGGGGAGCGAACGGGAUUAGAUACCCCGGUAGUCCACGCAGUAAACGAUGGAGACUAGGUGUGGCGGGAGUUGACCCCUGCCGUGCCGGCGCUAACGCAGUAAGUCUCCCGCCUGGGGAGUACGGCCGCAAGGCUAAAACUCAAAGGAAUUGACGGGGGCCCGCACAAGCAGCGGAGCGUGUGGUUUAAUUCGACGCAACGCGCAACACCUUACCACGGUUUGACAUCCCUGGAACCCCGGUGAAAGCUGGGGGUGCCUUCGGGAGCCAGGAGACAGGUGCUGCAUGGCUGUCGUCAGCUCGUGUCGUGAGAUGUUGGGUUAAGUCCCGCAACGAGCGCAACCCCCGUGGCUAGUUACGAGGUGUGCCUAGCCAGACUGCCGGAACCAAACCGGAGGAAGGUGGGGAUGAUGUCAAGUCAGCAUGGCCCUUACACCGUGGGCGACACACACGCUACAAUGGCCGGGACAAUGGGCAGCCAAGCGGUAACGCGGAGCCAAUCCCUCAAACCCGGUCUCAGUUCAGAUCGUGGGCUGCAACUCGCCCACGUGAAGGCGGAGUUGCUAGUAACCGCCGGUCAGCAUUACGGCGGUGAAUAUGUUCCCGGGCCUUGUACUCACC